This is a non-coding RNA of Cricetulus griseus (Chinese hamster), 72 nucleotides long. The record is from Rfam. NCBI's taxonomy places the organism in Eukaryota, Metazoa, Chordata, Mammalia, Rodentia, Cricetidae.
GUAGGAUGGCUCAGUGGUUAAGAGCACUGGAUGUUCUUCCAGAGGACCCAGGUUCAAUUCCCAGCACCUACA